RNAcentral lists this unclassified non-coding RNA (400 nucleotides) under uncultured fungus. RNAcentral describes it as "sequence contains ITS1". The stretch from base 1 to 105 matches the Rfam family "5.8S ribosomal RNA", at positions 50 to 154 of the family's 154-position model. Lineage: Eukaryota; Fungi. The record is from RNAcentral.
GAAUUGCGAAAAGUAGUGUGACUUGCAAUGCUCGUGAACCAUCGAAUCUUUGAACGCACAUUGCGCUUCGCGGCCCAUCCGUGGAGCAUGCCUGGUUGAGUGUCCGUAAAUCCACUCUCUCGCACCCAUUUACUUGGGAGGCGAGGGGAUAUAUGGAGUAAUUCAGCAGAGGGCCGCGCCAUGUAAUAACGUGGCCGCCCUUCGCACUCUGCAAUGUAGGUGAAGCCUCCUAGGAUUUUUGAAAAUCCCCCGCAGUCUCCUCAGCGGGACUGUGAAUCUUUUCUUGGGGAGAUUCCGAUUAUUUUGGCGUCGUAGCCCUCGUGCCUAGCGCCAGAGUCUCAUAUCGCGAAUCUCGUUUUACAUCCCGGGUUUAAAAGUGGGUGGGAGCGCGUUUUCUUCA